Long non-coding RNA from Seriola aureovittata, 2489 nucleotides. RefSeq lists it as uncharacterized. Lineage: Eukaryota; Metazoa; Chordata; Actinopteri; Carangiformes; Carangidae. The transcript has 3 exons. The record is from RefSeq and is a predicted model, not a curated record.
UGCAGUCGCUGUGGAGUUGGUGUCGGAUGGAGAUGAUGAGAGCGAAAAUAGCCGCUGUGGCAGACUUGAAGAAAACGCAUCAGUCCACCUCGCCAGGACAGUGAAUCCCGCGGUUUCACAAACAGGGGGGUGAAGGAAAAAUGUUGAGUUCACAUUGGGCUUCCUGAUGCUGACUCCAUGAAGAUCAUCUCCAUCAGAUGCUGUCACGGCCAGUUUAGACCUGAAGAUAAAAGACUUCAGAUUGCUCUGAUUAAUCACGUGGUGGUAAUGCAGUAAAGCAGAUCCAGUUUAUCUUCCAGCUUAUAAUACACUGCAUGAUUUCUUCUGUGUGUAACAUAACGAGAAGUGUCUUUGCCCUGUGGACAGUGGACUCAUUCUGCCACUGUCCUGUGGCAUUAUGUCCCUGCGCUGUGCGACCUGACCUCCGUGGUUUGAGUGACGUCCCUGUCCCUCUCCCCUGCAUGUCUGACUGUCUGUCCUCCCUCCUCCUCGCACUGCCUCAUCUGUCAGCUCGGCUCACGGUCACGGCCGCUGUCCUGCCUGCCUCGGUGAACAUUCAACGCUGUCGGUGAGUUUGGUAUGGAUCACAUAAAAACCAUCGACCGUUGACUGUGCCCCGUGGCUCGCUCUGACGACGUCGGGAAUGAGGGGGGAAAAAAAAUGAACAAAAGGGCAAGUGGGCGCAUGCAAAUCCAAAGAAGACACACACACACACACACUCACUCACUCACUCACUCACUCACUCACUCACACGCACAUGCACAGAAGCGACACUCUGUUUCCACUGUACCCAAAGACCAAAGGUCACAAUCAACAUUCAUUGCUGUCGCUGGGUUGGACUGUGUAGAAAAGCUCACUGAACAAUGAGUGCAACUGUGGCCCAGAUCUGCCUGACUCGCGUCCCAGCCAAUCAGCCGACCGGAUGUGAAACACUCUGAUUUCUUUAUUUAUAUACUUCUUGUUUUUCACUUCUAUUUUCUCCCACCCCGGCGCUGGGAGUCUUCAGGGGAAGAGAGAAAAAGAGAGAGAGAGAGAGAUAGAGACACAAAUAGACUUCAGGCUGCUUGCUUGUCCUCAUCCUCCUCUCCUCUAAUUGGUGGUUAUGUGUGCAGCAAGGGGGAAGGAAGCGGAGUGAAUGUGUAAUCAUUUGGAGUCUCUUCUCCUUUGGAUGUUUCAUCCCUCUCUUUUUUGUUUGUCUAAUUAUAUACCGAGCUCACUUAACUCUGUGUUAACUGCACGUCUGUGCUGGCAAGAACCAGCAAGAAUCAGCAACUGACAAAGAGAAAGAGGCCAAGGGGGAAAAAAAAAAAAAAAAAGGUAGAAAGAUUAUAGCACCAGCAAAAUUAUUAUCUACUUUUUAGUAUAUUUUAUAUAAUAUUCUUCCUGGUGCUGCUGCAAAUGUGCCAGGAUAUAAGCAAUUUGCAAAUGCAGAAAGAAAAUUGUUUUCACCUUUCUGAUGGUGGAUGUUUCAUUAUCUGUGUUUGAGUUUCAUGAGAGACUGUCUGGUUUCCUGCGUGCCUCUGUGUGUGGGUGUGUGUGUGUGUGCGUGUGUGCGUAUGCUAUGAUCGAGGACCUGCCUGCUGAUCUCAGAGUGCAAUAUGUUAUUUUCCUUCUGUACUAAAGUUGCUCCCUCACAGGAAAACACAGUCUAUAACCUUGUCUUCCUUCAGACAGUCUGGGACCAGCCAUUCUCCUGCCGUUGUUCAUUGUACCCCUCUGUAACAACUCUCUGACACUGUGCCCUGUAUCAGUAAUCCAUGUAGUGUAAACACACAGCUCACACGCUUGUUAUCUAUAUGUAGGAAUGUGUUUUAUGUUCUCAUGAAGUGCUGACAUUUGCUGUAAGUUUUUUUUUUUUUUUUUUUUUUUUUUUUUUUAUGGCUGCUUUUAUUAAAGUAAUUGAAUAAAGUUAAAUCAGGACCCAGGCAUUAGCGUCUGAUGUGGUUAUUCACUGUGAAUUACACACAUAACUCAUAUUUAGUGAUGCUUUACUCUGGAAUAACCAUCCAACUCCUUAUUUCUGUAGACUCUAUCACACUUUAUCUAACAGUAUGUGCUCCCUCUGUCAUUUAGUAACCAUGCCCCAUGUCCGUGUCCCUCUCUCCCCAGUCUCUCUGUAUUAUUCAUAGAAAAGCACUCUGUGCAGUGGUGCAGAACAGUGGAGGUGAUGUAAUAGUGGCUGCGAGCGUGGCUCCGGACUGUCAUUUGGGAUGGACUCAUGCGACAGGAGAAAACGCUCAGUUUGUUCAGCUUUGUUGGUGUUGCCAACAGCUACAGCUGAUGGCCAGGGACCGGACAUGAAGCACAUCUAUGAUAAAAGUGUCAUUUUUAGCAGCUUAAGCUCCUAAAAUGAUAUUUCAAAGACCUGAAAUCCACUUAGGGGCUCCGCUUUGCAAACUUUAAAGAGUUGAAUUGAAGGAAAUAGUAUGGAGAUGCAGUUAAAAGUCCACAUCAUUGCGUGAUGUCAAGCGCUGAACAUUAGCACGCUG